GGAUUGAACAGAAAAUGUAGUAUAAACAAGUGGAUCAACACUCCAACCAUCUGCAUUAGGGACUGAAUAAAGGAUGCCCUCUGUAGCUGGGAAUGUUAGAUCAGGCGGAUCAACAUUCCAUCAAUCUGCAUUAGGAUCUACCUUAGAGACACUCACUGGAGCUGUAAAUGGGAAGCAGGU
Non-coding RNA from Paramisgurnus dabryanus, 180 nucleotides. The record is from RefSeq and is a predicted model, not a curated record. Lineage: Eukaryota; Metazoa; Chordata; Actinopteri; Cypriniformes; Cobitidae.